This 1269-nucleotide long non-coding RNA is filed under the name Anas platyrhynchos platyrhynchos (common mallard). Its description in RNAcentral is "lncRNA (ENSAPLG00000020750.1)". The record is from RNAcentral. Lineage: Eukaryota; Metazoa; Chordata; Aves; Anseriformes; Anatidae.
UUUUGGGGCAAUUCUCAGCACUUUGGGGCAUUUUCUGUCCCCUUGGCAUCCAUUUCAGGGCAUUUUAGAGUCCUUUGUGGUGUUUUGUGUCCCUUUUGUGUUGUUUUGUGUCCCUUUGGAGUCCAUUUUGUGGUGUUUUGCGUCCCUUGGGGGUCCAUCUUGGGCCACUUUCCCUCACUUUUGGGCCACUUUCCCUCACUUUUGGGCCACUUUCUGGCGUGGCCCCGCCACGGCAGCGGCGGCGAGGAUGAGGAGGGGCAGGAGGUGGAGGCAGAAGCCGACGGAGGCCCAGUAGCGCAGCGUGUGGCGGGCGCCCAGCAGCACGAAGCCCAUGCAGAGGUAGUCGUAGGCGCGCAUCUUCAGGAACCACUGCAGGCCGCGGGCCAGCGGUGGCCCCCCCGGGGCCAGCAGCCCCCCCAGGGCCUUCUCGGCCGCCCGCUCGGCCGCCAGCCACAGCGGCACGCUCAGGAAGCUCAGGUAGUAGCCGGGGUGCAGCCCGUGCCAGUAGGCCGAGACCAGCAUGGUGCAGGCGCUCCUGGGGGGCACAGGCACCAGUAUAACCAGUAUGCCCAGUGACCCCCCCGCAGUGCCUCCCAGUACCUCCCAGUACACAUAAAGCCUCACACCAGUGCCUCCCAGUACAACCAGCACACACAAAUCCUCAUCCCAGUGCUUCCCAGUGCCCCCCAGUACCCCUCCCAGUGCCUCCCAAUGCCCCAAAUCCCCCUCCUAGUGCCCCCAACUCCCCUCCCAGUGCCUCCCAGUGGCUCCCAGUGGCAUACCUCAGCACGGGGGGGGCUGCGGGGGGCGCGGCGGUGGAUGUAGUGUGCCAGCCACCACUGCACGGUCAUGUUCCAGUGCCGCAUGCCCUCGCGGAAGCGGACGCAGAAGUCGGUGCCCAGGGGGUCGAUGUUGUGCACGGCCUCGUAGUCAAAGAGCUCCCCUGGCACCUCCCGCGUCCUGGGGGGGGGUUGGGGUGAUUUGGGGGCUUUUUGGGGUUUUGAGGGGUUUCUGGUUUUUGGGGGGAUUUUGGGGGGUUUGGGGGGUUUUGGGGGGAAUUGGGGAGUUUUGGGGGUUUUAGGGAUUUUGGGGAUUUUGGGGCUUUUUGGGGUUUUGGGGGGGGUUCCCCCUCAGUCCCCCUCCCAGUGCCUCCCAGUCCCUCCCAGUGCCCCCAAAUCCCCCUCAAUCCCCCUCCCAGCGCCUGCCAGCACCCCCCAGCGCCCCCCUUACCUAUCAUAGGGCGCUGUGGGACCCUGCCCGGGCCGGGGC